GGAGUGCAGCCGGCCCUCAGCUCCAGCCACGUCCCGAGUGAGGCGCUGUGGUCCAACAGCUGCAAGCAGUAAACCGCUGCCAGGCUGGGUUCGGACUGU
This is an unclassified non-coding RNA of Bison bison bison, 99 nucleotides long. The record is from Ensembl. Lineage: Eukaryota; Metazoa; Chordata; Mammalia; Artiodactyla; Bovidae.